UAGGCUGCAACUCGCCUACAUGAAGCUGGAAUUGCUAGUAAUCACAGGUCAGCAUACUGUGGUGAAUACGUUCCCGGGCCUUGUACACACCGCCCGUCACACCAUGAGAGUUGAGAAUACCCGAAGUCCAUGUCAAAGUGGCCGAAGGUAGGCUUGAUGAUUGGGGUGAAGUCGUAACAAGGUAGC
This 186-nucleotide ribosomal RNA is filed under the name uncultured bacterium. Its description in RNAcentral is "partial 16S ribosomal RNA". It matches the Rfam family "Bacterial small subunit ribosomal RNA", at positions 1301 to 1500 of the family's 1533-position model. The record is from RNAcentral.